This 492-nucleotide ribosomal RNA is filed under the name uncultured bacterium. RNAcentral describes it as "partial 16S ribosomal RNA". It matches the Rfam family "Bacterial small subunit ribosomal RNA", at positions 29 to 507 of the family's 1533-position model. The record is from RNAcentral.
AGUGAACGCUGGCGGCAGGCCUAACACAUGCAAGUCGAACGGCAGCACAGUAAGAUCUUGCUCUUACGGGUGGCGAGUGGCGGACGGGUGAGGAAUACAUCGGAAUCUACUUUUUCGUGGGGGAUAACGUAGGGAAACUUACGCUAAUACCGCAUACGACCUACGGGUGAAAGCAGGGGAUCUUCGGACCUUGCGCGAUUGAAUGAGCCGAUGCCGGAUUAGCUAGUUGGCGGGGUAAAGGCCCACCAAGGCGACGAUCCGUAGCUGGUCUGAGAGGAUGAUCGGCGACACUGGAACUGAGACACGGUCCAGACGACUAAGGGAGGCAGCAGUGGGGAAUAUUGGGCAAUGGGCGCAAGCCUGAUCCAGCCAUACCGCGUGGGUGAAGAAGGCCUUCGGGUUGUAAAGCCCUUUUGUUGGGAAAGAAAAGCAGCAGGUUAAUACCCCGCUGUUCUGACGGUACCCAAAGAAUAAGCACCGGCUAACUUCGUG